RNAcentral lists this transfer RNA (77 nucleotides) under Chloroflexota bacterium. RNAcentral describes it as "Chloroflexi bacterium (rhizosphere metagenome) tRNA-Arg". It matches the Rfam family "tRNA". Rfam says of the family: Transfer RNA (tRNA) molecules are approximately 80 nucleotides in length. RNAcentral also lists the same sequence under 1 other name. Lineage: Bacteria; Bacillati; Chloroflexota. The record is from RNAcentral.
GGCCGCGUAGCUUAAUAGCAUAGAGCAAGAGUUUCCUAAACUCUAGGUUGUGGGUUGGAGUCCCACCGCGGUCACCA